This 253-nucleotide ribosomal RNA is filed under the name uncultured bacterium. RNAcentral describes it as "partial 16S ribosomal RNA". It matches the Rfam family "Bacterial small subunit ribosomal RNA", at positions 524 to 776 of the family's 1533-position model. The record is from RNAcentral.
GACGAACCGAGCGAACGUUGUUCGGAAUCACUGGGCUUAAAGGGCGCGUAGGCGGGCUGCCACGUCUGCGGUGAAAUCCUCCAGCUUAACUGGAGAACGGCCGCGGAUACUGGCGGUCUCGAGGGAGGUAGGGGCAAGCGGAACUGUGCGUGGAGCGGUGAAAUGCGUUGAUAUGCACAGGAACUCCGGUGGCGAAGGCGGCUUGCUGGACCUCUUCUGACGCUGAGGCGCGAAAGCUAGGGGAGCGAACGGG